Molecule: ribosomal RNA, 491 nt
Filed under: uncultured bacterium
Lineage: Bacteria
Description: partial 16S ribosomal RNA
Rfam family: Bacterial small subunit ribosomal RNA
Source: RNAcentral
GUGAACGCUGGCGGUAGGCCUAACACAUGCAAGUCGAGCGGCAGCACAGUAAGAGCUUGCUCUUACGGGUGGCGAGUGGCGGACGGGUGAGGAAUACAUCGGAAUCUACUUUUUCGUGGGGGAUAACGUAGGGAAACUUACGCUAAUACCGCAUACGACCUACGGGUGAAAGCAGGGGAUCUUCGGACCUUGCGCGAUUGAAUGAGCCGAUGUCGGAUUAGCUAGUUGGCGGGGUAAAGGCCCACCAAGGCGACGAUCCGUAGCUGGUCUGAGAGGAUGAUCAGCCACACUGGAACUGAGACACGGUCCAGACUCCUACGGGAGGCAGCAGUGGGGAAUAUUGGACAAAGGGCGCAAGCCUGAUCCAGCCAUACCGCGUGGGUGAAGAAGGCCUUCGGGUUGUAAAGCCCUUUUGUUGGGAAAGAAAAGCAGCAGGUUAAUACCCCGCUGUUCUGACGGUACCCAAAGAAUAAGCACCGGCUAACUUCGUG